This is a long non-coding RNA of Xenopus laevis (African clawed frog), 1289 nucleotides long. RefSeq lists it as uncharacterized. Lineage: Eukaryota; Metazoa; Chordata; Amphibia; Anura; Pipidae. The record is from RefSeq and is a predicted model, not a curated record. The transcript is spliced from 7 exons.
AGGAUGCUGAAACAAGCAUCUUAAGGCUUUUCAAUUCUAAAAUGUAAGAUAAACCUUCUGCUGUCACAAUUGUUUAAGUGUCAUUAGUUAAUAUUGUAUUUCUUUACUUCUGUGCAAUGCAGGUUGUGCAUGGACACGGGUAAAGCAAAUUACACUGCUAAUAUAAGGCUAUACAAAAGUCAAUAAAAGAUUAAUGUAUUACGUUACAUGUAUGACAGAGCAUGAUGGGAGUAAACUGAGGACUGCCUUGUCUAAAAGACCGUCAAUACAAUUAGCUGUGAUUUGGCACAAUAACAGGAAGAGGAUGAAGCCUGAACUUCUCUAAACAAAACAAUGUCUGGAUGAAGCAGCAACUUACCUGACUAUAAAUGUCACCAAAUACCCUCCUUGUUUAAUGAACUCAAUAAAAUAAUCAAGCAACUUGAAUAUGCCACAGGGAUAGAUACUGAUCCCAACUUCCUCUCCCCCUUUGUGUAGGCUUCAAGUCUCUGCCCUGCCAUCUAUGGGUAAACCCCAGGCUUCCCACCUUCCUUGUUACCUCCCGAAUACCUCUCUGCCCUGUCAGAGCUUUACAAGAACGAGAUGGGUGAAGAGUUUAAGCAGAAGGCAAAAGUUUAACAGGUACAACAAGAGUUCAGAGCAUAACAACAGGAACUCCAGUGGAACAACAGUUGGUGGGCUAAGUCAGCUUACAAAGAUCGCGGAAGAUGGAUGCGUGCUACUCAGCUGGAAGAAUCUGCGCCGAGGGCUUAUUAGGUGUCAAAGUGAUGCCAAGAUUGGAAAAAAACCCUUUGGAGGGCCAUAUGCGGCUAUGAGACACUAUCUAGGCAUUCUGCCCUACAGACGUUGAAAAAACCUGUUCUACAGAAUGAAAGAAAACUGGAUGCUAUUUUGAAGACUAACAGUACCCAGCUCCUUUUCCUCCUUUUCCUCAUCCAGUGAAAUCAAGCUAUAGUAAAAUAGCAGUAUAUAAGAACAGAUGAUCUAUUUACAAAACUCCACGCCUUUUGCAUAAUAAUGAGACCCCCUGUAUUUGAUGUUCUUAAAUAUUGUUUUAUUUAAUCUUCAAACCAAAUACAAAUCUAAGCAUAUACAGUAGCUUAGGCUUCCGGGAGGAGUCCACUGAGGGCAGGAUAGAUAUGUACAGAACAUAUGAUUAAUUAUUGGCAGCACUGUGAAACUAGUCUUUAGCCUGGUCCAUUCGUUCUAUUCAUUCCUAUGGGAUUUUUAGAAUUGCAUUUAUCAAAGGGUGAAAGUUAGAACUAACCAUUUGAUAAAUACAGUUCUAA